This 465-nucleotide ribosomal RNA is filed under the name uncultured bacterium. RNAcentral's name for it is "partial 16S ribosomal RNA". It matches the Rfam family "Bacterial small subunit ribosomal RNA", at positions 338 to 795 of the family's 1533-position model. The record is from RNAcentral.
CCUACGGGUGGCAGCAGUGGGGAAUAUUGCGCAAUGGGCGAAAGCCUGACGCAGCGACGCCGCGUGAGGGAUGAAGGUCUUCGGAUCGUAAACCUCUGUCAGCAGGGAAGAACGGUCACUGUGCUAAUCAGCAGUGAAUUGACGGUACCUGCAAAGGAAGCACCGGCUAACUCCGUGCCAGCAGCCGCGGUAAUACGGAGGGUGCGAGCGUUAAUCGGAAUUACUGGGCGUAAAGCGCUCGUAGGCGGUAUGUCAAGUCAAGGGUGAAAGCCCCGGGCUCAACGUGGGAACUGCCUUUGAAACUGGCAAACUGGAGUGUGUGAGAGGAUAGUGGAAUUCCAGGUGUAGGAGUGAAAUCCGUAGAUAUCUGGAGGAACAUCAGUGGCGAAGGCGACUAUCUGGCACAUAACUGACGCUGAGGAGCGAAAGCGUGGUUAGCAAACAGGAUUAGAUACCCGAGUAGUC